AGUUCAAGAGUACGUGAAACCGUUCAGGGGUAAACCUGAGAAACCCAAAAGAUCGAAUGGGGAGAUUCAUCGUCGACGGCCGUCCUGGCCCCCGUUGACGCCGCGAUGCGCCGACUGAAUCGUUAUCCGAGCGGUUCACGCAGCGAGCGCACGCCGUCCUCGGGGUGUUCCGGCGUCGUAGUCGUGCACUUCUCCCCUAGUAGAACGUCGCGACCCGUUGCGUGUCGGUCUACGGCCCGAGCGGUAGCCUGUCCCGUCUCGCCUCGAGCGUGCGUGCGACAGACCCUCGGUCGCCCGGCCGGCUGCGCGACGGUACCCGCACGGUAUCGGGCCGCAGCGUUUUAUUAACGCGUGCGUCAGGCCCGUCGCAAGCUAGGUCAGUUCCAUACCCGGAGGUGUUUACGGACCCGGUGCCGUCCCCGGGCCUGUCCAGCUGUUGGCCGACGGUGUCCUCUGACUGUGUCCAUUAUUAUCUUACCGGUCGGCGACGCUAUUGCUUUGGGUACUCUCAGGACCCGUCUUGAAACACGGACCAAGGAGUCUAACAUGUGCGCGAGUCAUUGGGAUCGAUAUUUGAAACCUAAAGGCGGAAUGAAAGUGAAGGUCGUACCUUCGAGUCGACCGAGGGAGGAUGGGCCGCGUACAAUUUCGAUUCGUGCGGCCUCGCACUCCCGGGGCGUCUCGUUCUCAUCGCGAGAAGA
RNAcentral lists this ribosomal RNA (701 nucleotides) under Melitta haemorrhoidalis. RNAcentral's name for it is "eukaryotic LSU rRNA". It matches the Rfam family "Eukaryotic large subunit ribosomal RNA", at positions 386 to 788 of the family's 3401-position model. Lineage: Eukaryota; Metazoa; Arthropoda; Insecta; Hymenoptera; Melittidae. The record is from RNAcentral.